Molecule: transfer RNA, 70 nt
Filed under: Neoplecostomus paranensis
Lineage: Eukaryota; Metazoa; Chordata; Actinopteri; Siluriformes; Loricariidae
Description: tRNA-His
Rfam family: tRNA
About the family: Transfer RNA (tRNA) molecules are approximately 80 nucleotides in length. Their secondary structure includes four short double-helical elements and three loops (D, anti-codon, and T loops). Further hydrogen bonds mediate the characteristic L-shaped molecular structure. tRNAs have two regions of fundamental functional importance: the anti-codon, which is responsible for specific mRNA codon recognition, and the 3' end, to which the tRNAs corresponding amino acid is attached (by aminoacyl-tRNA synthetases). tRNAs cope with the degeneracy of the genetic code in two manners: having more than one tRNA (with a specific anti-codon) for a particular amino acid; and 'wobble' base-pairing, i.e. permitting non-standard base-pairing at the 3rd anti-codon position.
Source: RNAcentral
GUAGGUAUAGUUUCAACUAAAACAUUAGAUUGUGAUUCUAAAAACAAAGGUUAAAACCCUUUUACCCACC